RNAcentral lists this ribosomal RNA (793 nucleotides) under uncultured marine microorganism. Its description in RNAcentral is "bacterial SSU rRNA". It matches the Rfam family "Bacterial small subunit ribosomal RNA", at positions 8 to 845 of the family's 1533-position model. The record is from RNAcentral.
AGAGUUUGAUCCUGGCUCAGGAUGAACGCUGGCGGUAUGCCUAACACAUGCAAGUCGAACGAUGUCUUCGGACAUAGUGGCGGACGGGUGAGUAACGCGUGAGAAUCUGCCUCUAGGAUGGGGAUAACGGUUGGAAACGACCGCUAACACCCAAUAUGCCGUAAGGUGAAAAAUUUAUUGCCUGGAGAGGUGCUCGCGUCUGAUUAGCUAGUUGGUGGGGUAAGAGCUCACCAAGGCUUCGAUCAGUAGCUGGUCUGAGAGGAUGAGCAGCCACACUGGGACUGAGACACGGCCCAGACUCCUACGGGAGGCAGCAGUGGGGAAUUUUCCGCAAUGGGCGAAAGCCUGACGGAGCAAUACCGCGUGAGGGAGGAAUGCCUUUGGGUUGUAAACCUCUUUUCUCAGGGAAGAAGAUCUGACGGUACCUGAGGAAUAAGUAUCGGCUAACUCCGUGCCAGCAGCCGCGGUAAUACGGAGGAUGCAAGCGUUAUCCGGAAUCAUUGGGCGUAAAGCGUCCGCAGGUGGUUUCCAAAGUCUGCUGUUAAAGACUGGAGCUCAACUCCGGAACGGCGGUGGAAACUUGGAAACUAGAGUUCGGUAGGGGUAGCAGGAAUUCCCAGUGUAGCGGUGAAAUGCGUAGAUAUUGGGAAGAACAUCGGUGGCGAAGGCGUGCUACUGGACCGUAACUGACACUCAGGGACGAAAGCUAGGGGAGCGAAAGGGAUUAGAUACCCCUGUAGUCCUAGCUGUAAACGAUGGAAACUAGGUGUGGCUUGUAUCGACCCGAGCCGUG